UGUCCACCCCGUAAUUUCCGAGACUUUUUUAG
Molecule: non-coding RNA, 32 nt
Filed under: Geobacter sulfurreducens PCA
Lineage: Bacteria; Pseudomonadati; Thermodesulfobacteriota; Desulfuromonadia; Geobacterales; Geobacteraceae
Source: RNAcentral